GACGAACGCUGGCGGCGUGCCUAAUACAUGCAAGUAGAACGCUGAAGGAGGAGCUUGCUUCUCUGGAUGAGUUGCGAACGGGUGAGUAACGCGUAGGUAACCUGCCUGGUAGCGGGGGAUAACUAUUGGAAACGAUAGCUAAUACCGCAUAAGAGUAGAUGUUGCAUGACAUUUGCUUAAAAGGUGCACUUGCAUCACUACCAGAUGGACCUGCGUUGUAUUAGCUAGUUGGUGGGGUAACGGCUCACCAAGGCGACGCUACAUAGCCGACCUGGGAGGGUGGUCGGCCACCCUGGGACUGAGACACGGCCCAGACUCCUACGGGAGGCAGCAGUAGGGAAUCUUCGGCAAUGGACGGAAGUCUUGCCGAGCAACGCCGCGUGGGUGAAGAAGGUUUUCGGAUCGUAAAGCUCUGUUGUAAGAGAAGAAUGAGUGUGAGAGUGGAAAGUUCACACUGUGACGGUAUCUUACCAGAAAGGGACGGCUAACUACGUG
RNAcentral lists this ribosomal RNA (495 nucleotides) under uncultured bacterium. Its description in RNAcentral is "partial 16S ribosomal RNA". It matches the Rfam family "Bacterial small subunit ribosomal RNA", at positions 28 to 507 of the family's 1533-position model. The record is from RNAcentral.